This 282-nucleotide ribosomal RNA is filed under the name uncultured Prevotella sp. RNAcentral's name for it is "partial 16S ribosomal RNA". It matches the Rfam family "Bacterial small subunit ribosomal RNA", at positions 65 to 339 of the family's 1533-position model. The record is from RNAcentral. Lineage: Bacteria; Pseudomonadati; Bacteroidota; Bacteroidia; Bacteroidales; Prevotellaceae.
AGGGGCAGCAUCGCGAUAGCUUGCUAUAGCGGAUGGCGACCGGCGCACGGGUGAGUAACGCGUAUCCAACCUUCCCGCAACUGGGGAAUAACCUUGCGAAAGUAAGACUAAUACCCAAUGACGUCUCUAGAAGACAUCUGAAGGAGAUUAAAGAUUUAUCGGUGUACGAUGGGGAUGCGUCCGAUUAGCUUGACGGCGGGGUAACGGCCCACCGUGGCAUCGAUCGGUAGGGGUUCUGAGAGGAAGGUCCCCACAUUGGAACUGAGACACGGUCCAAACUCC